This 495-nucleotide ribosomal RNA is filed under the name uncultured bacterium. RNAcentral describes it as "partial 16S ribosomal RNA". It matches the Rfam family "Bacterial small subunit ribosomal RNA", at positions 28 to 507 of the family's 1533-position model. The record is from RNAcentral.
GACGAACGCUGGCGGCGUGCCUAAUACAUGCAAGUAGAACGCUGGAGGAGGAGCUUGCUUCUCUGGAUGAGUUGCGAACGGGUGAGUAACGCGUAGGUAACCUGCCUGGUAGCGGGGGAUAACUAUUGGAAACGAUAGCUAAUACCGCAUAAUAUUGACUAUUGCAUGAUAGUCAGUUGAAAGGUGCAACUGCACCACUACCAGAUGGACCUGCGUUGUAUUAGCUAGUUGGUGGGGUAACGGCUCACCAAGGCGACGAUACAUAGCCGACCUGAGAGGGGGAUCGGCCACACUGGGACUGAGACACGGCCCAGACUCCUACGGGAGGCAGCAGUAGGGAAUCUUCGGCAAUGGACGGAAGUCUGACCGAGCAACGCCGCGUGAGUGAAGAAGGUUUUCGGAUCGUAAAGCUCUGUUGUAAGAGAAGAACGAGUGUGAGAGUGGAAAGCUCACACUGUGACGGUAUCUUACCAGAAAGAGACGGCUAACUACGUG